GGUUAUGGUACCAACAGUAAAGGAAUAAGGGGCCAAAAGGGGCCAAAAAUAAGCAUUUUUGUAACUUCCAGACAUAACUUGUGUGUUAGUGUAUGGAUCUCUCUGACAUUGUACCACAAGGUUCCAUAUCACAAAAGGAAUGCUGGGAUUGAUUUUGGGGGUAAUUGCCUCAAAAUUUUAGGAAUUAGGGGCCAAAAAAGGGGCAAAAAACAAGCAUUUUUCUAGUUUCAUGACAAUAACUUGUGUGUAAUUGUAUGGAUCUUUCUGAAAUUGUACUACAAGUUUCCAUAUCACAAAGGGAAAGCUGGGAUUGAGUUUGGGGGUAAUUGCCCUAAAUGUUCAGGAAUUUGGGGCCAAAAGGGGGCCAAAAAACAAGCAUUUUUCUAGUUUUCAGACAAUAACUUGUGUUCAAGUGUAUGGAUCUCUCUGAAAUUGUACUGCAAGGUACCAUACCUCUAAGGGAAGGCUGGGAUUGAGUUUGGGGGUGAUGAAUCAUAAGGGGGUUCAAAAAAUUUGGGGGGGGGGGAUUUUUUUUUCCUUUUUUUUUUUUUUUUUUUUUUAAA
This is a long non-coding RNA of Mytilus californianus (California mussel), 563 nucleotides long. RefSeq lists it as uncharacterized. The transcript has 2 exons. Lineage: Eukaryota; Metazoa; Mollusca; Bivalvia; Mytilida; Mytilidae. The record is from RefSeq and is a predicted model, not a curated record.